AACGAACGCUGGCGGCGUGGAUAAGACAUGCAAGUCGAACGGGAGUUUGUUUAUAGCAAUAUGAGUGAACUCUAGUGGCGAAAGGGUGCGUAACACGUAGCUACCUACCUCGAAGUUGGGGAUAGCUCGGCGAAAGCCGGAUUAAUACCGAAUGUGAUCGUGAGAUCAAAGCUGGGGAUCGUAAGACCUGGCGCUUUGAGAUGGGGCUGCGGCCUAUCAGCAGUUGGCGGGGUAACGGCCCNCCAAGGCUUAGACGGGUAGCUGGUCUGAGAGGACGACCAGCCACACUGGAACUGAGACACGGUCCAGACACCUACGGGUGCAGCAGUCGAGGAUUUUUCUCAAGUGGGGGAAACCCUGAAGGAGCGACGCCGCGUGAGGGA
RNAcentral lists this ribosomal RNA (383 nucleotides) under uncultured bacterium. RNAcentral's name for it is "bacterial SSU rRNA". It matches the Rfam family "Bacterial small subunit ribosomal RNA", at positions 29 to 408 of the family's 1533-position model. The record is from RNAcentral.